AGCGAACGCUGGUGGCAGGCUUAACACAUGCAAGUCGAGCGGGCGUAGCAAUACGUCAGCGGCAGACGGGUGAGUAACACGUGGGAACGUACCUUUUGGUUCGGAACAACACAGGGAAACUUGUGCUAAUACCGAAUAAGCCCUUACGGGAAAGAUUAUCGCCGAAAGAUCGGCCCGCGUCUGAUUAGCUUGUUGGUGAGGUAACGGCUCACCAAGGCGACGAUCAGUAGCUGGUCNGAGAGGAUGAUCAGCCACACUGGGACUGAGACACGGCCCAGACUCCUACGGGAGGCAGCA
This 297-nucleotide ribosomal RNA is filed under the name uncultured bacterium. Its description in RNAcentral is "partial 16S ribosomal RNA". It matches the Rfam family "Bacterial small subunit ribosomal RNA", at positions 29 to 353 of the family's 1533-position model. The record is from RNAcentral.